UCCGGUUGAUCCUGCCGGACCCGACCGCUAUCGGGGUGGGGCUAACCCAUGGAAGUCUAGGAGCCGGGGCUACGGCCGGCUCCGGCGGACGGCUCAGUAGCACGUGGCUAACCUACCCUCGGGAGGGGGAUAACCCCGGGAAACUGGGGAUAAACCCCCAUAGGCGCGGACACCUGGAAUGGGUCCGCGCUGAAAGGGCCACGGUACCAUGCUUACCGUGGCCGCCCGAGGAUGGGGCUGCGCCCUAUCAGGUAGUUGGCGGGGUAACGGCCCGCCAAGCCGAUAACGGGUGGGGGCCGUGAGAGCGGGAGCCCCGAGAUGGGCACUGAGACAAGGGCCCAGGCCCUACGGGGUGCACCAGGGGCGAAACUUCCGCAAUGCGGGAAACCGUGACGGAGUCACCCCGAGUGCCACCCGAAGAGGGUGGCUUUUGCCCGGUCUAAAAAGCCGGGCGAAUAAGCGGGGGGCAAGCUUGGUGUCAGCCGCCGCGGUAAUACCAACCCCGCGAGUGGUCGGGACGUUUAUUGGGCCUAAAGCGUCCGUAGCCGGCCCGGUAAGUCCCUCCUUAAAGCCCACGGCUCAACCGUGGGAGCGGAGGGAUACUGCCGGGCUAGGGGGCGGGAGAGGCCGGGGGUACUCCUGGGGUAGGGGCGAAAUCCUAUAAUCCCAGGAGGACCACCAGUGGCGAAGGCGCCCGGCUAGCACGCGCCCGACGGUGAGGGACGAAAGCUGGGGGAG
Molecule: ribosomal RNA, 738 nt
Filed under: uncultured Thermoproteales archaeon
Lineage: Archaea; Thermoproteati; Thermoproteota; Thermoprotei; Thermoproteales
Description: bacterial SSU rRNA
Rfam family: Archaeal small subunit ribosomal RNA
Source: RNAcentral